RNAcentral lists this ribosomal RNA (484 nucleotides) under uncultured bacterium. RNAcentral's name for it is "partial 16S ribosomal RNA". It matches the Rfam family "Bacterial small subunit ribosomal RNA", at positions 30 to 507 of the family's 1533-position model. The record is from RNAcentral.
AUUGAACGCUGGCGGCAGGCCUAACACAUGCAAGUCGAGCGGAUGAAGGGAGCUUUCUCCUGGAUUCAGCGUCGCGCGGGGGAGUAAUGCCUAUGAAUCUCCCUGGUUGUAGGGGAUAACAUCCUGAAACGGGCGCUAAUACUGCAUACGACCUGAUGGAGAAAGAUGGGGGUCGUCGGAACUCAUGCUAUCAGAUGAGCGUAGGCCGGAUUGGCUAGUUGGUGGGGUAAAGGCCUACCAAGGCGACGAUCCGUAACUGGUCUGAGAGGAUGAUCAGUCACACGGGAACUGAGACACGGUCCAUACUACUAAGGGAGGCCGCAGUGGGGAAUAUUGGACAAUGGGCGAGAGCAUUGUCCAGCCAUGCCGAGUGUGUGACGAAGGUCUUCGGAUUGUAAAGAACUUCAAGUUGGGGGAAAGCGCAGUAAGUUAAUACCUUGCUGUAUUGACGUUAACAACAGAAUAAGCACCGGCUAACUUCGUG